RNAcentral lists this long non-coding RNA (798 nucleotides) under Triticum aestivum (bread wheat). RNAcentral describes it as "long non-coding RNA (TAES_LNC009040)". The record is from RNAcentral. Lineage: Eukaryota; Viridiplantae; Streptophyta; Magnoliopsida; Poales; Poaceae.
GAUUCGCUAAAGAUCCGAAAAAAAGAGCUGACCGACCAGCUCAUUUGUCGCUAAUCUUAAAAACAAUUUGCUAAAGAUCCAAAAAACAAUUACGCACCACUGCCAUCCAUAAGUGGUACAAAACGAUUCGCUAAAGAUCUGGAACAAAAAAGAGCUGGCCGACCCGACCAUUGUUCCCCAAUCUGGAAAACUAUUUGAUUAAGAAAAAAUUACCCAACCCUACCCUUCUUCACCCAAUCCAGAUGACCUGCAGUUAUAAAGAAAAUCCGGACGGCCUGGCCUUCCCGUGCGCUGCCGAUGUCUCCCACCACAUAAAGGAACCCACUGCUACCGCUUCCUACUAGGCCAUUCACCGGUGUCAAGGUAUCCCGUCGCUAUCGGCUCACACGUGCCCAUCGACCAUAUCAAGGGCCUCACGCGCCGCGCUUCCCUAGACUCUGAGCGCUGCUGCCUCCAGCCACCUGCGAUUCUCCACCAGACCACCCUGUCGCCACUGAUCCAUUGUGCCUCCACUGAAAUAACUACAUAUAUCAGAGCUGCUUGAGGCCUCAGCCCACACCGCCUAAAAAACCACAAAUGACAAACACCGAAGUCCUAAUUAUUGAAAAAUUUACAUCAUAAACUGCAGUGAGAUCCCAGGCGGAUCCACGGUCGGAGCGGAUACGAGUGGGGGGGUGGAGGGUUCAAAUAUUACCGGUUGGGCGAACUCAAUCAGGAUGAACGCACUCUUGAUAUUGGACCCGCGGAGCGCCUUGAGGGCGGUCCGACACUCGGCGAUGGAGCGGAAAAUGAUGAAGG